This is a long non-coding RNA of Columba livia (rock pigeon), 733 nucleotides long. RefSeq lists it as uncharacterized. NCBI's taxonomy places the organism in Eukaryota, Metazoa, Chordata, Aves, Columbiformes, Columbidae. The record is from RefSeq and is a predicted model, not a curated record. The transcript has 3 exons.
AGAUCUUCUUUGUGACAAAUGCCAGCUGAUGGUGGCAGCCGGCGUGCAAGAUUUCAGUCCUGCCAUGUUCAGCACUUGGGACACAGGUGACAGGAUGGUGACUGCAAAAUUUUCUCUUCUGUGACGUUAAUUACAGGUAGGAUCAAGAGGAAGAUGGCAGAUGCGCUAUAGGAGCAAUAGGGUGAAAGAUAAAUCCAGCCAACCAGCUUUACCAUCCAAGCUAUGAUUAAAAGAUACGACACAUAAACAUCCUUUUGCAUAGAAGUUUCGGGAAGAAGCUUCAAACGACAAAUUGUGAGACAGCUGAUCUGGUCCCUCAGGUUUUUCCAGAUGGCAUUUAGUUAGUCUGAUCUUUAUUCCUGACUGGUGACAGCUUGAUGGGUGACAUCAGGCAAAUCACACCCCUCUAUGCCUCACUUUUCCUGUGCACAAUUGUAUUUACCCAGUGUUUGGUGAGCUCUGUUAAGAGCUGGGUAGCAUUUGACCACUAACUGCUUGCUGGAAUUUCAUUUAUAUUGCAUCUUAUGACAGCAUUUUGUAAUGUGCAACCAUUUAAAAGCUAUUUUUUACUCUGAAAAAAAAUCUGCUGAUACUGAGGCUCAAGAAAUUCUCUCUCCUGUCCAAAAUAAAAUAAAAGAUGUGAAUUUUCAUAAUCUGGAAACAGGGCUGUUCCCAGAACCUUCCCUUUCUACUCAGGAGAGAGAAGAUUGCCCACUUCAACACAAACAUUGCU